AAAUUGAAGAGUUUGAUCAUGGCUCAGAUUGAACGCUGGCGGCAGGCCUAACACAUGCAAGUCGAACGGUAACAGGAAGCAGCUUGCUGCUUUGCUGACGAGUGGCGGACGGGUGAGUAAUGUCUGGGAAACUGCCUGAUGGAGGGGGAUAACUACUGGAAACGGUGGCUAAUACCGCAUAAUGUCGCAAGACCAAAGAGGGGGACCUUCGGGCCUCUUGCCAUCAGAUGUGCCCAGAUGGGAUUAGCUUGUUGGUGAGGUAACGGCUCACCAAGGCGACGAUCCCUAGCUGGUCUGAGAGGAUGACCAGCCACACUGGAACUGAGACACGGUCCAGACUCCUACGGGAGGCAGCAGUGGGGAAUAUUGCACAAUGGGCGCAAGCCUGAUGCAGCCAUGCCGCGUGUAUGAAGAAGGCCUUCGGGUUGUAAAGUACUUUCAGCGGGGAGGAAGGUGUUGUGGUUAAUAACCGCAGCAAUUGACGUUACCCGCAGAAGAAGCACCGGCUAACUCCGUGCCAGCAGCCGCGGUAAUACGGAGGGUGCAAGCGUUAAUCGGAAUUACUGGGCGUAAAGCGCACGCAGGCGGUCUGUCAAGUCGGAUGUGAAAUCCCCGGGCUCAACCUGGGAACUGCAUUCGAAACUGGCAGGCUUGAGUCUUGUAGAGGGGGGUAGAAUUCCAGGUGUAGCGGUGAAAUGCGUAGAGAUCUGGAGGAAUACCGGUGGCGAAGGCGGCCCCCUGGACAAAGACUGACGCUCAGGUGCGAAAGCGUGGGGAGCAAACAGGAUUAGAUACCCUGGUAGUCCACGCCGUAAACGAUGUCUACUUGGAGGUUGUGCCCUUGAGGCGUGGCUUCCGGAGCUAACGCGUUAAGUAGACCGCCUGGGGAGUACGGCCGCAAGGUUAAAACUCAAAUGAAUUGACGGGGGCCCGCACAAGCGGUGGAGCAUGUGGUUUAAUUCGAUGCAACGCGAAGAACCUUACCUGGUCUUGACAUCCACGGAAGUUUUCAGAGAUGAGAAUGUGCCUUCGGGAACCGUGAGACAGGUGCUGCAUGGCUGUCGUCAGCUCGUGUUGUGAAAUGUUGGGUUAAGUCCCGCAACGAGCGCAACCCUUAUCCUUUGUUGCCAGCGAUUAGGUCGGGAACUCAAAGGAGACUGCCAGUGAUAAACUGGAGGAAGGUGGGGAUGACGUCAAGUCAUCAUGGCCCUUACGACCAGGGCUACACACGUGCUACAAUGGCGCAUACAAAGAGAAGCGACCUCGCGAGAGCAAGCGGACCUCAUAAAGUGCGUCGUAGUCCGGAUUGGAGUCUGCAACUCGACUCCAUGAAGUCGGAAUCGCUAGUAAUCGUGGAUCAGAAUGCCACGGUGAAUACGUUCCCGGGCCUUGUACACACCGCCCGUCACACCAUGGGAGUGGGUUGCAAAAGAAGUAGGUAGCUUAACCUUCGGGAGGGCGCUUACCACUUUGUGAUUCAUGACUGGGGUGAAGUCGUAACAAGGUAACCGUAGGGGAACCUGCGGUUGGAUCACCUCCUUA
Molecule: ribosomal RNA, 1542 nt
Filed under: Salmonella enterica subsp. enterica serovar Brandenburg
Lineage: Bacteria; Pseudomonadati; Pseudomonadota; Gammaproteobacteria; Enterobacterales; Enterobacteriaceae
Also listed under: 2 other names
Description: bacterial SSU rRNA
Rfam family: Bacterial small subunit ribosomal RNA
Source: RNAcentral